Zingiber officinale is the source of this 1051-nucleotide RNA transcript. RefSeq lists it as uncharacterized. The transcript has 5 exons. The record is from RefSeq and is a predicted model, not a curated record. NCBI's taxonomy places the organism in Eukaryota, Viridiplantae, Streptophyta, Magnoliopsida, Zingiberales, Zingiberaceae.
AUGCGUGAGAAUGAAGCCGAAUGUUCUCGACCUCUGCGCUCAUCCAGAUGCAAAGCAAAGCGGACGGCCGCCGGAGGCCGAGGCCGCGCGAGGGAGUAAAGAAGGCGAAGAGGCGACCACUCACCGACACCACCAACGCCCACACCUCCUCUUCUUUUCCCUCCCACCUGAAAAAUUCCAGAUCCAACUCCAAAUCUUCUGCCUCUCCAACUCCAAUCCCCGAAGGCACUUGCAUCCCUGGCGCAGAAGACGCGUCUGAACCUCCCAGGUCUCCUUUGAGAGAGAAUGAGUCGUUUCUUGAUUCCGGUGAAGGCACUAAUUGUGGUGAAUUAGAGACUUUGAUAGUUUAUUCGCGGAGUGUUGCAAAGGGUAAAAAGUCCAAAGGGAAAGAGCCUCAAACGACUUCAAGCUGCCCCCCAGUGGAAAGGAUCAGAAGUAGAAAUGAUGGAAAAUCAGUGGAUGGUUCAAAUACUAAUCGACAAAAGGCAUCUUCAGUUCCAUCAAAUAAACCUAAAAAGAAGCAGCGAUGUGAAGGACCUGAUGCUGAUUUUCUUGAGAAGCAAAAGGCCUACUUUGAAGAGGUCGAUGCUUUUGAACUCCCCGUAGAGUUUGUCACAGAGAUAGAUCUUGAAUAGGACUAACUGAACCAUACUACCAAUUUAACCCUGGCACUUUGUAUAGUUGCCGGCAUCAGAACCUGAAAGCAGCUCAUUGUAAAUCGACAAGGCAUUUUAGAACUUUACAUCCGCACUAUUUGAUGACGAAGAUAACUUAAAAAGAGGAUCUGGAUUGAGCGAAUGAGGUCAGUCUAUGAGGUAUCGACUAUUGCUGGUUUAGGGAAGUGAGGAAUAGUGUUGAAGUCUAGGGGUCCUUCAACAUUGUUUUAGAAGGGUAUAUGUGGAUGUUAAUAUAUGUCACCUCUUUAAACAUAUAUGUGAAGGGUAUAUUUGGAUGUUAAUAUAUGUCACCUCAUUAAACAUAUAUGUGAGCAGAUGCCACAUAUUUAUUAUAUUAAUUAAUAUAUUUAUAUUAAUUUUAAUAUUAAUUCUUA